AGCUCUGUGCAGUGGCAUUAUCGUAGCCAAUGAGGUUUAUCUGAGGCACAAUUAUUGCUAAUUAAAAAGAGGUGUGUGCCUGUAGGCCCUGCUACUCAGAAAGCUGAAGCAGGAGGACUGCCUGAGCUCAGG
Molecule: small nuclear RNA, 132 nt
Filed under: Microcebus murinus (gray mouse lemur)
Lineage: Eukaryota; Metazoa; Chordata; Mammalia; Primates; Cheirogaleidae
Description: U4 spliceosomal RNA (ENSMICG00000044827.1)
Rfam family: U4 spliceosomal RNA (bases 1-70)
About the family: U4 small nuclear RNA (U4 snRNA) is a component of the major U2-dependent spliceosome.
Source: RNAcentral